CACCAUGUUGUGAUUUUUUCUGAGGACCUCAAGCUGAUGAUUUGCGUUUUGGCUUGGUUUGGCUUGGUUUAGUUUGUUUUUUGUCCUUGAGAUGUCAAAGAUUCUGUUCCAGUUUCUCUUGAAAUCAUAAAGGAACCUCCCAUCUCUAUGUUUCAGAUCUGCUUGAGGCUUUAUUGACAGAAUGAAUAGUUUUGGCAUAACCAGGCAUGGACUUAAACCAGCACUGCCAGAUGCAAUCAAACUUCUCAGCAAGCAUGAUUUUCCCUACCUGAAGACUAAAUCAGUGCUGUGUGAAUCUGUUAUCUUCCAUCUCACUGCUCAAAACCGGAUCUGGGCUGACAGCAGGAACACUGAGACAGCUUGCAAUCACCAUGGAUGUCUCUGGAGCCUUCCAGCUUGUCAAGCUCAGCACACUGCUCUGUGCUUGAAAGCAUAUGGUCAACAAAACAAAGAGCUUGCACCUGGAAUUUGAAUGUGGCACAAACUGAACGGCUUUAAAAAAUCAAGCCUCCUCACCCGACCUGCUGUGCUGGGACACCAGUGGAGUGUGCAAAUCCAUGCUCCCUCAGCAGCCUGCACAGGAAUGGAGGUGAAAGCAGUGGGGAAGUCACAGCUCCAGCUGGCUUUCCACAUCCUUAUAGUCAGAUUCUCUCCCUCUUCAGGACAGGAAAGGCAGCUAGAGAGAGAGUAUUACAUAUCUGGUGUUCAUAAAAUAGUAUGGGUUGGAGGGGAUCUUCAAAGAUCCAGCUGUCCUGCUGUGAAAAGGGACACCUUCCACCAGACUGCAUUGCUCAAAGCCCCCUGCAGCCUGAGCUGAGAAAUUCCAAUGAUGAAACAUCCUUGUACUUGGUCCUGUUGAACUUCAUGAGGUUUGCAUGGGCCACUUCUCAAGCCUGUCAAGGUCCCCCUGGGUGCCAUAGCUUCCCUGCAGUGAGUCAACUGCACCACUCAACAUGGCAUCAUCUUCAACUUGCUGAGGGAGAAUUCAACCCCACUGUCCAUGUGUUAAGUUACCCAUUUUCUUGUUGAAUGCAGUGUUCCAUUCACAUAUGGAUGUAAUCUUUACAUAUGUAUAUAUAUUUAUAUAUAAAUGAGACCCCUCUUCAAAGUGUUGUGCUGGUUUUGGCUGGGAUAGAGUUAAUUUUCUUUACAGUAGCCAGGAUUGAGGCCAUGUUUUGGAUUUGUGCUGGAAACAGAGCUGAUUACACAGGGAUGUUUUCAUUAUUGCCAAGCAGUGCUUGCACAGUGUUAAGGCCUUUUCUGACCCUACCCCACCACUGAUGAGGCUGGGAGUGCACAAAGAGUUAGAAGGGACAUGGCCAGGACAGGAGACCCCAACUACUAAAGGAAUAUUCCAUACCCAACACAUGAUGUCUUGCUAUAUAUAAAGUAGUAGGUAAAGCAGUGGAAAGAAAAAGGCAAGGGAGACUUUUAGAGAAAUAUCUUCCCAAGUCAGUGCUACAUGUGAUGGAGCCCUGAUUUCCUGGGGAUGUCCGAACACCUGCCUGCCCACGGGAAGUGGUGAAUGAAUUACUGCUUUUGCUUUUUCCUUUACCUGUUAAACCGUCUUUAUCUCAACCUGUGAGGUUACUCAUUUUUACUCUUCCAAUUGUUUUCCCAUCCCACUGAGGUGAGGGGGCAAGCAGCUGUGUGGAACUUAGUUGGCGGCUGGGCUUAAGUCACAACAUUUCUUUUUGGUGCCCAACAUGGGGCUCAAAGUGCCCACGCUAAUGACAGAUUUGAUUCAAAUGUGCUGGAUGGAAUUUGUAGCUGUUCUUGCUGUUUGGCUGUUAAUGGGCAGGCUGCUGUGCCUGCCAUGAGGCUCGCCUGCCUGCCUGCCUGUGUAUCGGAGCAAGUGCUCGUUAGUGGCGGCUUUCUGCUUUCACUGCUUGCUGUGCUGCCGUGCUGCUUAUCAUCUUACUCUGCUGUGCUUGGGCACAUUGUGAUAACAGCCUGCGCUGGCUGAUGGCCAGGACAUUGCUGCUGUUUGCUGCCAUACUGGACAGGCUGGGAUUCUGGUGAGAGCAUGAGUUUCAGAGACUCUGACCAGUGUGGGUGAAUGCGGGUGCAGGACACCUGAAAUGUCUGUGCUGCAGUAGUUGCACCUCUGAAGGGAUGUGGCCUAAGGAUGAGGCCACACCAGAGAAGGCGCCCCUUGGAGUGUCACUGGCUGUGACCAGCGAGGUCAUGCCUGAACACCUCAAAGCACGUGGCCAUGGAUCAGUGCAUGACAGUAUUCACCAUCUGAAAGUACAGAAUGGCACAGCAGAUAAACAUGGAGACAGUAGUUUCCUACAUCAAGAAAGUGCGCAGAAUGUGAGAAUCUCCUCCUGAAGGCAGAUGCACUUUUAACAGUGUUGAAGAAGGUUUUGGAAGGGCUAUGAAGGUCAUUGGGAAUGGUGCACUCAGCCCCAACUCUGUAUUUUUAAGCCUCCCUAUGUGCUUAACAUUUGGGUUUAAAGCAAAUGUAGAUGACUUGUCACUUGGCACUGUAGCUACAUUGUUUUAAACAUUAUUGUAAUGGUAAAAAAUGAAAAAAAAAGGCGGAAUUUUAUACUGGUAUCCUUAUCUUGGGAAUUUGUAGUUGGAGAAUUACAGCUAAGGAUUACAAGCUCCCAAUAUGAAUGCAUAUUUGAGUGUAUGCUUAUAAUAUAUACCCACAGAGGAAUACACGGAAACAACAUCUAUUUUGGCAACCCUUGCACUUUUCAAAUUAGAUGCAGAAGAGUUAUUCUAAUUAUUUAAAGGUCUCUGAGCCUCAGCAAAUUGUAUUGACAGAGCUUUCGCUUUCAAUAAAAAACAGACCUGAAAUGCUUUUGCA
Molecule: long non-coding RNA, 2821 nt
Organism: Zonotrichia albicollis (white-throated sparrow)
Lineage: Eukaryota; Metazoa; Chordata; Aves; Passeriformes; Passerellidae
Source: Ensembl